CUCCCACCACAGCCCUCAGCGCCCCACACCCACUGCCGGAUUUGCCCAGGCCCUGCUCACUGUGCCUUGGGCCUCCUGGUGCGGGGAGCAGGUCCUCUGCCAGCGGCUCCCACUCCCUAACCCAGUUUCUUCCUGCAGGGAGCACCUCCGGGAGCUGCCUGCCCGUCCACCCGCCCGGAAAGGUCAGUGUGGGGCUGUCCUGGCUAACUGCUGUCCCGCCCUCCAUAAGCGCCGGCCGCCUCCCUGCGAGGCAUCUGCUCUUCUCUGCGGCGGGAAGCCAUCCAGCUCGAGCUGCGCAGCUUUGCCCCGCACCUGCGUCCUCGGCUCCUGCUGCCUCGGCUGAAGUCCGGCUCCUCCCGUGCUUGAGCAGCAGUCGGGGUGGGCAGCUCCAGCUGCUUCCAGAAGUGCCAGGCUCUCAGUGACACGCAGGCGGCUGACGGCCGUGCCCGCACCUUGGGGUGCGGAGCUGCUCCCUGGCGACCCUUUAAAUGCUUUCCUGAAGUUUCUUUUCUGGGACCCAGAGACGCAAGUCCGUUUGAGGCGCCGAUGACCCCCGGCAGCUCCUGCGGCACCAGGCCGGCCAGCUCCUGGGCCUCUCAUCGUGCCCGGCUCUGCCCCAAGCCUCCAGGCGCCCAGCAGACCCCAGGUGCCACAGAGCAGGAUGACUCAGAGCACCCCUGGAGUAGCCGGCCCUGCAGCAAGCUGCCCCAGCGCAGGGGUCGGUGGAUGCAUGUGCCGCACCCCAGGAACGCCUGUGCGCGGGAGUGUGCGGCCACAGGCCACACAGGCUGGCUGCAGGGCAGCCCGGGAGUCUGCUGGGUGGGGGUAGCCACAGCCUACCGGCUCUGGCUCUGCCGACCUCUCUGAGGGCCCAGGCCCGGCCCUGGGGGCGACCCCUGCCCCCGCGAAGCUUCCAGCUCCCCAUGCACAGCCCCUGGCCCGCCUGCUGUCCCCGUGGCCACAGGGAGCCGGGCCGCCGCGCCCCAGCCCUGCCCACUGCGGGGGGCCCAUGACUGGGCGCCCCGGCUUCCUGUGGGUCCUGUCUCCUGGCCCCCAGCCAGCGACGUGGGGCAGGCCUCGGACACCAGGAGGGCUGCCGAGCGGGCUGGCCGUCCGCACCAGGCAUCUGCGGGGUCUGCUCGGCCGGAGCAGCUGCCCGACGGGGCCCCUCGGAGCCCGCACAGGAGGCUGCGGAGGCCGUGGGUG
RNAcentral lists this long non-coding RNA (1206 nucleotides) under Chinchilla lanigera (long-tailed chinchilla). RNAcentral's name for it is "lncRNA (ENSCLAG00000027736.1)". Lineage: Eukaryota; Metazoa; Chordata; Mammalia; Rodentia; Chinchillidae. The record is from RNAcentral.